Molecule: small nucleolar RNA, 79 nt
Organism: Suricata suricatta (meerkat)
Lineage: Eukaryota; Metazoa; Chordata; Mammalia; Carnivora; Herpestidae
Source: Ensembl
UGGAUUGGUCAUGAUAAUGACACCAUGAUGGUGUUUGAGUUAUGUAUGAUGAAGACGUCUCUGGAAGUCUGAGGUGCAG